CAGUAGCCGCGGGAAUACGGAGGGGGCUAGCGUUGUUCGGAAUUACUGGGCGUAAAGCGCACGUAGGCGGCUUGGUAAGUUAGAGGUGAAAGCCCGGAGCUCAACUCCGGAAUUGCCUUUAAGACUGCCGAGCUAGUAGGUGAGAGAGGUAAGUGGAAUUCCGAGUGUAGAGGUGAAAUUCGUAGAUAUUCGGAAGAACACCAGUGGCGAAGGCGGCUUACUGGCUCAUUCUAGACGCUGAGGUGCGAAAGCGUGGGGAGCAAACAGGAUUAGAGACCCCAGUAGUCCCUGUCUCUUAUAC
This 301-nucleotide ribosomal RNA is filed under the name uncultured bacterium. Its description in RNAcentral is "partial 16S ribosomal RNA". It matches the Rfam family "Bacterial small subunit ribosomal RNA", at positions 509 to 807 of the family's 1533-position model. The record is from RNAcentral.